UCACGUAACCUCUGUCCAUCGAAGCAGAGUGUGAGCUCACACUGACCGCGACAGCUGCCUCGGCGCAGUCUGUUCCUACCACCACCCCAUAACCAUCUACAAUAUUUAUCUCUCCAAGGAGGAAAAGCUGUCUGAGGAUAACUAAUGGGAUAAGAGGCACCUUCUGCUUCCACAGCACAGCGACAGGGAAAGAACCCCAGUUCUGUCAACAAGAGCAUGUGCUGCUGGUUACAAAAAGCCACUGCAAACAACAUCAGGAGAUCUGUAACUCCGGAGCCUUGCAGCUGAAAACAAGCAAAAAACCAGCACAAAAGGCACAGGGCUAUUCGUCAGCUACAGGGACCUGUAAUUCUGAACGACAGCAAAAAUGUUCUGCAGUUUGAAAAUAACUUUGAUUUUUGAGAAAAACAGAAAUUUCACAAAGAGAAUGUUGUAAAGCACUUGGAUUUUUUUGGCAUUCACAGAAAGUAUUUCAACAUGAAGCCAGCCAGGUAAUAACUUAGAACCUUCCAGCACAUGACGGUUUUACGAAGAGCGCAUUGGAGGAGGUCGGACUGUCCCAGCCGGGAGGCCAGCUCUCCAGCCCAGGGGUGGGGGGCCUCACAGCUGCACCAGCCUCCCUGUAACCCGGGAGCUGCCAGGGGGACGGGGACACCCACUCCCUCUCCCGAGCUGUACGCCGCCCCCCAGAUGUGGCACUUUCCUGUCCGCCCAGGCGGCAGCCAGAGGAGCAGCUCAGUACAUGUAAAUCAAUCCAGAGAGCAGAGUGCACUUCAAAGGAACGGGAGAACAUUCCUGUGAAUUACCUCGGGAAGGCGAUGGGUCCCUGUAAAUAAAGCGGAGCACGUGGAAGAGCGAUGCGCCGGGGCAGAGCCCUCGGCGAGGCACUUUGCAAUCAGGCUGCCCAGCAAUCAGCCCAGCAUCAGCCCCGACACGGCACACGAGCAGGCACCGACUUGAUUGUGAUAAAUGGAAGCACUUUCAGCUAGGUAAGGUUUGCAUAAAAGUCCUGUUAAUGUAAUAUUUUAAAAAUAUUUCUUCUUCAACACUGCAAAUGUUACUAAGGGACAAAUUUAAAUAUUCAUCUUUAUCUUUCAAGCGUUAGAUGACUGACUUGGGACUCAGAGGGACGGAAUUACUGGCACUGCGUUUACAGAAAUGCAGCCUGCCCUGUAAGGGAGGGCAAGCCUGGCCCAGCCCUGGGAACCAGCUGCCUUCGCCCCCGCAGCGCAGCCACAGUGCCUUCUCAUUGCCCACGAGGUUUCCAAACUCCCUGCCUGCCGGAGCCGUGUCAAUGCGAAGGGGACGGCGACAGGCAGGAGGCUGGCACCAACCAGCCUGUAUUGUACAAGCAAGGAAUUUUUGUCAAAUACCACUAGGUGACAAUGGAUCUUCUUCUAGAAGAAGUUUCUAAUAAUGCAUUUCUAUUUCUGGAACAAAUGUCCUAACUGUUAUCCUUUAAACAGACAAAUUUUAAUUAAUUUUAAUUGCAAAUUAACAUGCAAAUUUAUUUUUCUUAUCUGCUCAAAAAUGACUACGAUACAAAUCAAUUGUCUGUAUAAAUUUAGAAAUCCUCUCUUGGUUUCUUCUUGCUUUUUUGUAUUAUUCCACAGACUACUAAAAAUAGCACUAACUCUGCUGGGAAAUACAGCCCGAGCUAACAGUUAGCGAAACACAAAGUGCUUUUGUUCACUUUUGGGCUGCAUAAAAUGAGCAAAACUAGUACAUCCAAACUCUAAAAAUCUAUUUUUAUUUCCUGUCUUUGGCCAAGUGUCAUCAGGUUUUUCUGUUAUAACCACUGCCUGAUGCUGAGAGCUGUUCCAGUGGUGGGAGCAACCUUGGCCACUGAACCACGAACCCCACCACUGCCUGUGACAGACCCACAGCUAAAGCAGAGGUCUCCAGUCUCGAUGAACCUCUGUGGAGGGGAAGAUCUCUCCCUUUACUCUUGAUAUAAAUAUUCCAGGCCAUUUCUUAAUUUCUGGGUGACAGCCAGUCAAAGAAAAUAAAACCAGCUCGCCAAACCCCAUCCCCAAUUCCCUUCUCUA
Falco peregrinus (peregrine falcon) is the source of this 2048-nucleotide long non-coding RNA. RefSeq lists it as uncharacterized. The record is from RefSeq and is a predicted model, not a curated record. The transcript has 3 exons. Lineage: Eukaryota; Metazoa; Chordata; Aves; Falconiformes; Falconidae.